This is a long non-coding RNA of Myxocyprinus asiaticus (Chinese sucker), 172 nucleotides long. RefSeq lists it as uncharacterized. NCBI's taxonomy places the organism in Eukaryota, Metazoa, Chordata, Actinopteri, Cypriniformes, Catostomidae. The transcript is spliced from 3 exons. The record is from RefSeq and is a predicted model, not a curated record.
AGAGCUCUAAUUAGGAGCUUGAUUAUGGUAAAAGAACAUUCUGACAACUUUGAGGAAGGCAUAACGUGACUGAAUCCAGCAUAUUCAGUGAGAAGUUUGAGCUGCUACUAGCCCUAGACUACACCGAAGAAAGUCAAAUUGGUUUGGAAUAACAGGAAGGAGCUGGUCGAGU